CCUACGGGGGGCUGCAGUGGGGAAUAUUGGACAAUGGGCGAAAGCCUGAUCCAGCCAUGCCGCGUGUGUGAAGAAGGCCUUCGGGUUGUAAAGCACUUUCAGUGGGGAAGAAAGCCUUGGGGCUAAUACCCUCGAGGAAGGACAUCACCUACAGAAGAAGCACCGGCUAACUCCGUGCCAGCAGCCGCGGUAAUACGGAGGGUGCGAGCGUUAAUCGGAAUUACUGGGCGUAAAGCGCGCGUAGGCGGUCUGAUAAGCCGGUUGUGAAAGCCCCGGGCUCAACCUGGGAACGGCAUCCGGAACUGUCAGGCUAGAGUGCAGGAGAGGAAGGUAGAAUUCCCUGUGUAGCGGUGAAAUGCGUAGAGAUCGGGAGGAAUACCAGUGGCGAAGGCGACCUUCUGGACUGACACUGACGCUGAGGUGCGAAAGCGUGGGUAGCAAACAGGAUUAGAUACCCGAGUAGUC
Molecule: ribosomal RNA, 465 nt
Filed under: Vreelandella stevensii
Lineage: Bacteria; Pseudomonadati; Pseudomonadota; Gammaproteobacteria; Oceanospirillales; Halomonadaceae
Description: partial 16S ribosomal RNA
Rfam family: Bacterial small subunit ribosomal RNA
Source: RNAcentral